CCCCUCUCAGUAUUGCACCUGGAGAGUUUCCAAUACUCUACCAGUCUCAACUACAGGAGGGAGAGUCAAGCAGAGACAUACCCAAUCCAGUCCUAGCUUAGGCAGUGACUAGUAAGUGGAAGGCAAUCUGCUACAAGU
This 138-nucleotide small nucleolar RNA is filed under the name Ornithorhynchus anatinus (platypus). Lineage: Eukaryota; Metazoa; Chordata; Mammalia; Monotremata; Ornithorhynchidae. The record is from RNAcentral.